CACGUACUCCCUUCGUUUCAAAUUAGUUGAUUUGAAUUUAUCUAAAUACGGAUGUAUCUAUAUGUCUAGAUACAUUCGUGUCUAGAUAAAUAUGGGUCAAAUAAUUUAAAAUGGAUGGAGUACACA
This is a non-coding RNA of Triticum urartu, 126 nucleotides long. The record is from Rfam. NCBI's taxonomy places the organism in Eukaryota, Viridiplantae, Streptophyta, Magnoliopsida, Poales, Poaceae.